AAACAACAAUGUAUAUGCGUAUUUAAAAACUUACGUCACACGAUUGCUAAUGAACGAAUUUCCUUCGGAUUAAAAGCAAGUUAUCUGGUGGUACCAGUUGCAACCUUGUUGCAAGCUCUGUAAGAUACGUAAGAAUAUAUAUCACUGUGUAUAUCAUAUCACUGCAAGGAUAUAUAAUACACGGGACAAUCUGUGGCGAGAGGAGAUCAAAGAAUUCUUCGACAUAAUAUUAAAAUUGACUGGCGCACUUACUUGGCUUCGAGGGCAAGUGCAAACACUCCCGCAGCCUCGGGUGCAGCGGCUGAGGUUCCGCUGUGCGUCGUCGUGCAUUUGCCGUAAAGAUUGCAGCUUCACGGUAAUACUGGUUUCGCAUCAUUUUACUCACCUAUUGAACCAAUCAUCGGUAUAUCGUGGAUACGGAUAAGGAUCGUUACUGCUGAAGUCGUAAGAAGCUUUGGCGUUCUAAAACAUACGAAGGAUUUUUCUUUAGUUUCGUUGAAUCUUCCAACGAAAAUGGUAUCCUAUUUCCUGAUUACAAGGAGCAUUCUAGGAAUUUGAAAUUGAUAGAAGAUCGACAUCCUACGGAUUUCCAUCCCACGCCAAUUCUUUUUUCUCUUUUUAAGAAGAUGAAAUAAAAAUACGUUACGACGACAAUUCGAUCGGUAAGUAUAACACGCCAGGGAAUCAGUAUUGGUCUGAGUAGCGAUAUUAUUUAAGAUGAAAGUUUCCUGGAGCUUUUCUAAUGGAUGAAAAGGUGAAGGAAAUACGCUUAUUCGCUCUUUCGUAACGUAACUUUCAUUUGACCGCACUGCUGAAUGUUUCAUUUUUGUAAUUUCUAUUUGUUAUUUCUAUGUACUUACUACGCAUUGUAAAAAUUGUACUCUGGUGUUAUCGACUGGAAAUUAUCCUUUUCUUACUGUCAUCCAUAUUGUCGAUCAGAUCAUAACAUUAUUUUAUUUUAUCUGACUCAGAAUCGAAUUCUUGUUCUCCAGGUUGAUAAGCAGUAGUUCUCUUAACAUUGUCAUUGCAAUGUUCUUCAUGUCAGCUUUUCCUUUUACACGGCUCUUGCAAGCUAUGCUACUUCUGUCAUGAUAAAAAUAUUACUAAUAUUUCAUAGAUAAUCUCCUCGUUGUUCUUCAUAAAUAUCACGUUGUCAAGGGAAUUUUUCGCGCAUAAAAUAUUUCGCAAAUUUGUAUAACGAUAAAUCAGAGUAAAUCUCCGACAAAAAUGACUAGACUUGUUGGCUUCAUCAAUUAAUCGAACACAGAACCCACCGACAUAAUUUGCAUAGCAUGGAAAUUCUUUCCUAUUAAUUUUACACCCCAUAAAUUUCUCGUAUCCACAGAACGUCGCUCGACUAUUAAUCUUCGUCUUGAAAACUACCCCUUCAGUUCAUCCCUUCGUUCUUCCCAAUCCCCUCCCA
This 1423-nucleotide unclassified non-coding RNA is filed under the name Bombus terrestris (buff-tailed bumblebee). RNAcentral's name for it is "misc RNA ENSBTSG00005030457.1". The record is from RNAcentral. Lineage: Eukaryota; Metazoa; Arthropoda; Insecta; Hymenoptera; Apidae.